This 1529-nucleotide long non-coding RNA is filed under the name Diabrotica virgifera virgifera (western corn rootworm). RNAcentral describes it as "uncharacterized LOC126887658". Lineage: Eukaryota; Metazoa; Arthropoda; Insecta; Coleoptera; Chrysomelidae. The record is from RNAcentral.
UGUAAAAUGACAGACACGGUUAAACACAGUAUUUAGUCCAUUCCGAAGUUGUAGUUUGUUUUGACAUUUCCGUUUUAUUUAACCUAACCUAUGUUUUGUGUUUUAUUGUGUUGUAUACAAGGAGUUGUAUAUUGAAAUUGAAUUGAUUCUUGUUUCAUUGAAUAUAGAGGAGUUGUUCUGUUGCAAGUUGUUCUAGUUUUGUUGUUUUAAAAUCUGCGAAAAACUAUUUAUAGAUAAUGGUGAACUUAAACAAGAAAUGGACAUGCAGUUUGCUGAUUACUUAAUUGUGUACUCACAACACAUAGGUACAGGCAUUAUGCAAAUACAUACCAUUUAGAGGAUACUUCAUUCAAAUUGGAGGACUCUGCGAUAUUGGGCUUCCUUAAUAGUUUACCAGACGUAGACACUGUCUUUUUCUUGGUAGAAAAUGACACCUGUUUCACCCUUUCUGAAUUUUCUAAAGUCUCAUAUUUGGAUCAACGUGAAAUUUGUUGGCUUUCACAGCUUUAAUUUGAUUAACGGCUGUCAUUAAAAUAUCUUCACUGUUGCAUUUUUGACCUAAUGCAAUUACUUACAGUGCUGAGCAGAUAGUAUCUCAUGUAAUUUCUAUCUAUCCCUCGGUUUUUGAUGUGUGCGUAGGUGCUGAAGACUCCAGUUCUUCCCAAAUAUCACUGCUUGGAACUUAAUUAUUUAGUGUGACUCAUGUAAUACAAAGGUAGUGAAUGUGCUGGCAAAUAUUUGAUUGAAUUAAAGAUUUGAUUGAAUUUAAUUUAAUAAAAUAAUCAAGGCAAGUACAUGAGUAGGAAUGGUAGCAUAUUUUACAUAGUAUGUAGCUGACAAGAUAACAUACAUUAAACAGUUUCUCUGUAACAGUACAUAUUUUUGAGUUUGUUUUAUUUUUAAUUAUCCAUUUUUUAAAUUCAUCAUUUCCUUCCACACUUUCAAUAUCAAAUUUAUAAUUUGUGGCUACAAUUAAUGGCAGUCAAUCAAUCAGUCCUUUUUCCUGAAAGCCACAAAAAUGUUGACAAAAUUAAAUCAAAACAUAUUUACAAACCUUUUGUUAUCUGAAUUAGUCUUUCCACUUGUUUAUCUCGAGUGUAGUGUGUCAAAUUAUGCAUGCUUUUAUCUAGUUGUUUCACCUUUUUAUAAUACUGUGCAUACUCUCCAAGUACAUAUUUGUAUUUGUUAGUAAUUCCUUUCUAUAACAGUAGAACCCCGACUUAGUAUUCAAACUAUAAUUUUUACUCAGGAUUUCUCUGACACAGUUUCCAGUACAGAACUGCCACAGGAAUCUCCAGUGGAGUUGCAACCGCUCUCACGGACGUCCACAAAUCAAGUUACAAAACUGUUACAUGACUCUAUUGGAGUUGCAACCACAAUUGGAUAAAAGUGAAAUUCGAAUAAUGCCAGAAAGACUAUAACAGUCCAAAGUGAUAGUGUGAAAUUAAAAACAAAUGAUUACGUAUAAAUCAUAUUUAUAAUAAUUAUAAAUAGUAGCUGUAUUUUUUAAAUAAACAGAUUUGAUAAGU